AUGUGGGAUGGGGAUCUUAUCAGACUGACCUUGUGGCCCGUUGAUUCACAACAGUGCCAGAAGGCAAAAGAGGUCUGGAGAAGGCUUGGCUUAGACGAGACCAUUGCUCAAGCUUGUGAAGUUGAUCGUGCUGGAGAGGCGGUCCUUGGUUAUUUGUUGCACCUGCCUGACCAAGAUUUAUCUAUUAUGAGGUUUCAAAAUAUUUGGGAGAUGAUUGCCAUUACGUCUAAUUUGUGGUGGGAAAGACGUAAAUUAGUGCACAAUGAGAGAAUUCAAGACGCAAAACAGAUUUCAAUGGGGAUACAAGCUCUUACGGCUAAUUAUGUUGUUGCUUCGAGUCCAAGGGCUUCUAUGGAAAGAGGGGGUUGGACUCGUCCCCCGGUGGGAUUUGUGAAACUUAAUAUUGAUGCUUCCUUUGAUCAUGAUCUUCUUAAAGGUUUGAACACUGUAAUAGAGAAGCCAAUAAGGUUGCGCACGAGCUUGCUAGGUUGGCUAGAUUUUCUUCUACUGUUGUUGGGUUUGAGGAGCCUAUGA
This 534-nucleotide ribosomal RNA is filed under the name Triticum aestivum (bread wheat). RNAcentral's name for it is "partial small subunit ribosomal RNA". The record is from RNAcentral. Lineage: Eukaryota; Viridiplantae; Streptophyta; Magnoliopsida; Poales; Poaceae.